RNAcentral lists this ribosomal RNA (432 nucleotides) under uncultured bacterium. RNAcentral describes it as "partial 16S ribosomal RNA". It matches the Rfam family "Bacterial small subunit ribosomal RNA", at positions 29 to 507 of the family's 1533-position model. The record is from RNAcentral.
AGCGAACGCUGGCGGCAGGCCUAACACAUGCAAGUCGAACGAACCUUUCGGGGGAGCGGCGGACGGGUGAGUAACGCGUGGGAAUAUGCCCUUCUCUACGGAAUAGCCUCGGGAAACUGAGAGUAAUACCGUAUACGCCCUGUGGGGGAAAGAUUUAUCGGGGAAGGAUUAGCCCGCGUUGGAUUAGGUAGUUGGUGGGGUAAUGGCCUACCAAGCCGACGAUCCAUAGCUGGUUUGAGAGGAUGAUCAGCCACACUGGGACUGAGACACGGCCCAGACUCCUACGGGAGGCAGCAGUGGGGAAUCUUAGACAAUGGGGGCAACCCUGAUCUAGCCAUGCCGCGUGAGUGAUGAAGGCCUUAGGGUUGUAAAGCUCUUUCAGCUGGGAAGAUAAUGACGGUACCAGCAGAAGAAGCCCCGGCUAACUCCGUG